GAGAGUUUGAUCCUGGCUCAGGAUGAACGCCGGCGGUGUGCCUAAUACAUGCAAGUCGAACGCGUUGGCCCAAUUGAUUGAUGGUGCUUGCACCUAAUUGAUUUUGGUCGCCAACGAGUGGCGGACGGGUGAGUAACACGUAGGUAACCUGCCCAGAAGCGGGGGACAACAUUUGGAAACAGAUGCUAAUACCGCAUAACAACGUUGUUCGCAUGAACAACGCUUAAAAGAUGGCUUCUCGCUAUCACUUCUGGAUGGACCUGCGGUGCAUUAGCUUGUUGGUGGGGUAAUGGCCUACCAAGGCGAUGAUGCAUAGCCGAGUUGAGAGACUGAUCGGCCACAAUGGGACUGAGACACGGCCCAUACUCCUACGGGAGGCAGCAGUAGGGAAUCUUCCACAAUGGGCGCAAGCCUGAUGGAGCAACACCGCGUGAGUGAAGAAGGGUUUCGGCUCGUAAAGCUCUGUUGUUAAAGAAGAACACGUAUGAGAGUAACUGUUCAUACGUUGACGGUAUUUAACCAGAAAGUCACGGCUAACUACGUGCCAGCAGCCGCGGUAAUACGUAGGUGGCAAGCGUUAUCCGGAUUUAUUGGGCGUAAAGAGAGUGCAGGCGGUUUUCUAAGUCUGAUGUGAAAGCCUUCGGCUUAACCGGAGAAGUGCAUCGGAAACUGGAUAACUUGAGUGCAGAAGAGGGUAGUGGAACUCCAUGUGUAGCGGUGGAAUGCGUAGAUAUAUGGAAGAACACCAGUGGCGAAGGCGGCUACCUGGUCUGCAACUGACGCUGAGACUCGAAAGCAUGGGUAGCGAACAGGAUUAGAUACCCUGGUAGUCCAUGCCGUAAACGAUGAGUGCUAGGUGUUGGAGGGUUUCCGCCCUUCAGUGCCGGAGCUAACGCAUUAAGCACUCCGCCUGGGGAGUACGACCGCAAGGUUGAAACUCAAAGGAAUUGACGGGGGCCCGCACAAGCGGUGGAGCAUGUGGUUUAAUUCGAAGCUACGCGAAGAACCUUACCAGGUCUUGACAUCUUGCGCCAACCCUAGAGAUAGGGCGUUUCCUUCGGGAACGCAAUGACAGGUGGUGCAUGGUCGUCGUCAGCUCGUGUCGUGAGAUGUUGGGUUAAGUCCCGCAACGAGCGCAACCCUUGUUACUAGUUGCCAGCAUUAAGUUGGGCACUCUAGUGAGACUGCCGGUGACAAACCGGAGGAAGGUGGGGACGACGUCAGAUCAUCAUGCCCCUUAUGACCUGGGCUACACACGUGCUACAAUGGACGGUACAACGAGUCGCGAACUCGCGAGGGCAAGCAAAUCUCUUAAAACCGUUCUCAGUUCGGACUGCAGGCUGCAACUCGCCUGCACGAAGUCGGAAUCGCUAGUAAUCGCGGAUCAGCAUGCCGCGGUGAAUACGUUCCCGGGCCUUGUACACACCGCCCGUCACACCAUGAGAGUUUGUAACACCCAAAGUCGGUGGGGUAACCUUUUAGGAGCCAGCCGCCUAAGGUGGGACAGAUGAUUAGGGUGAAGUCGUAACAAGGUAGCCGUAGACUGAGAGUUUGAUCCUGGCUCAGCCGUAACAAGGUAGCCGUAGCUGAGAGUUUGAUCCUGGCUCAGUAUCGUAACAAGGUAGCCGUAG
This 1631-nucleotide ribosomal RNA is filed under the name Limosilactobacillus fermentum. Its description in RNAcentral is "bacterial SSU rRNA". It matches the Rfam family "Bacterial small subunit ribosomal RNA". Lineage: Bacteria; Bacillati; Bacillota; Bacilli; Lactobacillales; Lactobacillaceae. The record is from RNAcentral.